RNAcentral lists this long non-coding RNA (220 nucleotides) under Pelobates cultripes (western spadefoot toad). The record is from RNAcentral. Lineage: Eukaryota; Metazoa; Chordata; Amphibia; Anura; Pelobatidae.
AUUUUAUUGAAAAGUGGGUUCACAUUAACCAGUUGCGUGCUUGUCAUCCUAAAUCUCAAUUAAGGAUUAUAGGUGUGGAUUCAGACGCAGAAGGGUGAACGACUAACCUGGAUGAAUGCUUGAUUAACGUGGUAUAGUAUGAUGUGAAAUGUUGUGAUGUGCCAUGAUCUCAUGUACGUUCAUGUCAUUAACCAUUUCCUUGCCAUCCAAUAACUACAUU